UACGUAGGGUGCAAGCGUUGUCCGGAAUUAUUGGGCGUAAAGAGCUCGUAGGCGGUUUGUUGCGUCGGCUGUGAAAACCCGGGGCUCAACCCCGUGCCUGCAGCCGAUACGGGCAGACUAGAGUUCGGCAGGGGAGACUGGAAUUCCUGGUGUAGCGGUGAAAUGCGCAGAUAUCAGGAGGAACACCGGUGGCGAAGGCGGGUCUCUGGGCCGAAACUGACGCUGAGGAGCGAAAGCGUGGGGAGCGAACAGG
This 253-nucleotide ribosomal RNA is filed under the name uncultured bacterium. RNAcentral's name for it is "partial 16S ribosomal RNA". It matches the Rfam family "Bacterial small subunit ribosomal RNA", at positions 524 to 776 of the family's 1533-position model. The record is from RNAcentral.